This 874-nucleotide ribosomal RNA is filed under the name marine metagenome. Its description in RNAcentral is "bacterial SSU rRNA". It matches the Rfam family "Bacterial small subunit ribosomal RNA", at positions 475 to 1349 of the family's 1533-position model. The record is from RNAcentral.
GUACUUGAGGAAUAAGCCACGGCUAAUUCCGUGCCAGCAGCCGCGGUAAUACGGGAGUGGCAAGCGUUAUCCGGAAUUAUUGGGCGUAAAGCGUCCGCAGGCGGCUUUUCAAGUCUGCUGUUAAAGCGUGGAGCUUAACUCCAUCAUGGCAGUGGAAACUGAAAGGCUUGAGUAUGGUAGGGGCAGAGGGAAUUCCCGGUGUAGCGGUGAAAUGCGUAGAUAUCGGGAAGAACACCAGUGGCGAAGGCGCUCUGCUGGGCCAUUACUGACGCUCAUGGACGAAAGCCAGGGGAGCGAAAGGGAUUAGAUACCCCUGUAGUCCUGGCCGUAAACGAUGAACACUAGGUGUCGGGGGAAUCGACCCCUUCGGUGUCGUAGCUAACGCGUUAAGUGUUCCGCCUGGGGAGUACGCACGCAAGUGUGAAACUCAAAGGAAUUGACGGGGGCCCGCACAAGCGGUGGAGUAUGUGGUUUAAUUCGAUGCAACGCGAAGAACCUUACCAGGGUUUGACAUCCUGCGAACCUCUUAGAAAUUUGAGGGUGCCUUCGGGAAUGCAGUGACAGGUGGUGCAUGGCUGUCGUCAGCUCGUGUCGUGAGAUGUUGGGUUAAGUCCCGCAACGAGCGCAACCCACGUUUUUAGUUGCCAGCAUUUAGUUGGGCACUCUAGAAAGACCGCCGGUGAUAAACCGGAGGAAGGUGUGGAUGACGUCAAGUCAUCAUGCCCCUUACACCCUGGGCUACACACGUACUACAAUGCUACGGACAAAGGGCAGCAAACUCGCGAGAGCUAGCAAAUCCCAUAAACCGUGGCUCAGUUCAGAUCGUAGGCUGCAACUCGCCUACGUGAAGUAGGAAUCGCUAGUAAUCGCAGGU